RNAcentral lists this ribosomal RNA (646 nucleotides) under Salmonella enterica subsp. enterica serovar Panama. Its description in RNAcentral is "partial 23S ribosomal RNA". It matches the Rfam family "Bacterial large subunit ribosomal RNA", at positions 2211 to 2851 of the family's 2925-position model. The record is from RNAcentral. Lineage: Bacteria; Pseudomonadati; Pseudomonadota; Gammaproteobacteria; Enterobacterales; Enterobacteriaceae.
UGUUUGAUGUUCUAACGUGGACCCGUGAUCCGGGUUGCGGACAGUGUCUGGUGGGUAGUUUGACUGGGGCGGUCUCCUCCUAAAGAGUAACGGAGGAGCACGAAGGUUGGCUAAUCCUGGUCGGACAUCAGGAGGUUAGUGCAAUGGCAUAAGCCAGCUUGACUGCGAGCGUGACGGCGCGAGCAGGUGCGAAAGCAGGUCAUAGUGAUCCGGUGGUUCUGAAUGGAAGGGCCAUCGCUCAACGGAUAAAAGGUACUCCGGGGAUAACAGGCUGAUACCGCCCAAGAGUUCAUAUCGACGGCGGUGUUUGGCACCUCGAUGUCGGCUCAUCACAUCCUGGGGCUGAAGUAGGUCCCAAGGGUAUGGCUGUUCGCCAUUUAAAGUGGUACGCGAGCUGGGUUUAGAACGUCGUGAGACAGUUCGGUCCCUAUCUGCCGUGGGCGCUGGAGAACUGAGGGGGGCUGCUCCUAGUACGAGAGGACCGGAGUGGACGCAUCACUGGUGUUCGGGUUGUCAUGCCAAUGGCACUGCCCGGUAGCUAAAUGCGGAAGAGAUAAGUGCUGAAAGCAUCUAAGCACGAAACUUGCCCCGAGAUGAGUUCUCCCUGAGACUUUAGGUCUCCUGAAGGAACGUUGAAGACGACGAC